UGGGGAAUUUUGGACAAUGGGCGAAAGCCUGAUCCAGCAAUGCCGCGUGUGUGAAGAAGGCCUUCGGGUUGUAAAGCACUUUUGUCCGGAAAGAAAUCCUUGGCUCUAAUACAGUCGGGGGAUGACGGUACCGGAAGAAUAAGCACCGGCUAACUACGUGCCAGCAGCCGCGGUAAUACGUAGGGUGCAAGCGUUAAUCGGAAUUACUGGGCGUAAAGCGUGCGCAGGCGGUUUGCUAAGACCGAUGUGAAAUCCCCGGGCUCAACCUGGGAACUGCAUUGGUGACUGGCAGGCUAGAGUAUGGCAGAGGGGGGUAGAAUUCCACGUGUAGCAGUGAAAUGCGUAGAGAUGUGGAGGAAUACCGAUGGCGAAGGCAGCCCCCUGGGCCAAUACUGACGCUCAUGCACGAAAGCGUGGGGAGCAAAACAGGAUUCAGAUACCCUGGUAGUCCACGCCCUAAAACGAUGUCAACUAGUUGUUGGGGAUUCAUUUCCUUAGUAACGUAGCUAACGCGUGAAGUUGACCGCCUGGGGAGUACGGUCGCAAGAUUAAAACUUAAAUGAAUUGACGGGGUCAUAGCUG
This 582-nucleotide ribosomal RNA is filed under the name uncultured bacterium. RNAcentral's name for it is "partial 16S ribosomal RNA". It matches the Rfam family "Bacterial small subunit ribosomal RNA", at positions 355 to 932 of the family's 1533-position model. The record is from RNAcentral.